AACGAACGCUGGCGGCAUGCCUAACACAUGCAAGUCGAACGAGACCUUCGGGUCUAGUGGCGCACGUGUGCUUAACGCGUGGUAACCUGCCCUUAGGUUCGGUAUACCUCCCCGAAGGGGGUGCUAAUACCGGAUAAUGUCUUCGGGCCAAAGAUUUAUCGCCUUUGGAUGGGCCCGCGUUGGUUUAGCUAGUUGGUAGGGUAAUAGCCUACCAAGGCGAGGAUCCAUAGCUGGUCUGAGAGGAUGAUCAGCCACACUGGGACUGAGACACGGCCCAGACUCCUACGGGAGGCAGCAGUGGGGAAUAUUGGACAAUGGGCGAAAGCCUGAGCCAGCAAUGCCGCGUGAGUGAUGAAGGCCUUAGGGUUGUAAAGCUCUUUUACCCGGGAUGAUAAUGACAGUACCGGGAGAAUAAGCCCCGGCUAACUCCGUG
RNAcentral lists this ribosomal RNA (433 nucleotides) under uncultured bacterium. RNAcentral's name for it is "partial 16S ribosomal RNA". It matches the Rfam family "Bacterial small subunit ribosomal RNA", at positions 29 to 507 of the family's 1533-position model. The record is from RNAcentral.